This 497-nucleotide ribosomal RNA is filed under the name uncultured bacterium. Its description in RNAcentral is "partial 16S ribosomal RNA". It matches the Rfam family "Bacterial small subunit ribosomal RNA", at positions 28 to 507 of the family's 1533-position model. The record is from RNAcentral.
GAUGAACGCUGGCGGCGUGCCUAAUACAUGCAAGUCGAGCGAACAGACGAGGAGCUUGCUCCUCUGACGUUAGCGGCGGACGGGUGAAUAACACGUGGAUAACCUACCUAUAAGACUGGGAUAACUUCGGGAAACCGGAGCUAAUACCGGAUAAUAUAUUGAACCGCAUGGUUCAAUAGUGAAAGACGGUUUUGCUGUCACUUAUAGAUGGAUCCGCGCCGCAUUAGCUAGUUGGUAAGGUAACGGCUUACCAAGGCAACGAUGCGUAGCCGACCUGAGAGGGUGAUCGGCCACACUGGAACUGAGACACGGUCCAGACUCCUACGGGAGGCAGCAGUAGGGAAUCUUCCGCAAAGGGCGAAAGCCUGACGGAGCAACGCCGCGUGAGUGAUGAAGGUCUUCGGAUCGUAAAACUCUGUUAUUAGGGAAGAACAAAUGUGUAAGUAACUAUGCACGUCUUGACGGUACCUAAUCAGAAAGCCACGGCUAACUACGUG